GGUUAUCCUAGCAAAGAGCCCUUAUCCUUAGGUGAUUCAGGGGCAUUCUAAAGGUCACCUAAUUAACAAAACAAAUUGCGCUUUGGAAUUUCUCCAAGGGUUUUAGAAACUGUGCUAGAAGAGGGGAUGACAAACACAUACAUAUUUCUUUUUAUAAAUGACAAUAUCACACCAGGUAAUCAAUCAGCCCAAAUAUACCUCAGAAGAUGCCAGCAAGAGCUCAAUAGAUGUACAAGAAUCAUUUUCUCCUCAUCUGCCCUAACGCCUCAUUUGUAUUCUGAAAUAAGAAGCUCCACUCUUUGGACUAAAUGGAGAGUUUCCAUCAUCCUUUCCAAUUCACUCAUCUCUAAAGGAAGGAGCCUUUGGAACUGGAGAACUGAGCAAACAGAAUUCUGUCCACCAUUCUUUCCUUUUGGACCUGCCGGCAUGCAGAGAAGAGAUAUAUUUGACUCAACUCCUGAUGCUACAAGGUGGAUACCACUCAGAUGAGACCUUCUAGAAACAGACCUGGAGGAAUUUAUCUUCCUCUCCCCCUCUGCUUUUCCAGUCUCUGUAAGACAGCUACUCAUGGUGUCUCCAAGGCAUAACAAUACCAUUGCCAAGAAGCCUGAUGUGACUCUGUAUCUGUAUUACUUUUGGUGCUCUAUUUUUAGUAGUUUAA
This 661-nucleotide long non-coding RNA is filed under the name Mustela putorius furo (domestic ferret). RNAcentral describes it as "lncRNA (ENSMPUG00000024586.1)". The record is from RNAcentral. Lineage: Eukaryota; Metazoa; Chordata; Mammalia; Carnivora; Mustelidae.